RNAcentral lists this transfer RNA (65 nucleotides) under Provespa barthelemyi. Its description in RNAcentral is "tRNA-Arg". Lineage: Eukaryota; Metazoa; Arthropoda; Insecta; Hymenoptera; Vespidae. The record is from RNAcentral.
UAAUAUGAAGGAAUAAUUCCACUUAAUUUCGACUUAAACUCUAGAUUAUAAAUAAUCCAUAUUAU